Molecule: ribosomal RNA, 231 nt
Filed under: uncultured bacterium
Lineage: Bacteria
Description: partial 16S ribosomal RNA
Rfam family: Bacterial small subunit ribosomal RNA
Source: RNAcentral
CGGACGGGUGAGUAAUGUCUGGGAAACUGCCUGAUGGAGGGGGAUAACUACUGGAACGGUAGCUAAUACCGCAUAACGUCGCAAGACCAAAGAGGGGGACCUUCGGGCCUCUUGCCAUCGGAUGUGCCCAGAUGGGAUUAGCUAGUAGGUGGGGUAACGGCUCACCUAGGCGACGAUCCCUAGCUGGUCUGAGAGGAUGACCAGCCACACUGGAACUGAGACACGGUCCAG